GACGGGGCCCGCACAAGCGGUGGAGCAUGUGGUUUAAUUCGAUGCAACGCGAAGAACCUUACCUGGGCUUGACAUCCCGAGAAUCCCCUGGAAACAGGGGAGUGCCUUUCGGGGAACUCGGAGACAGGUGCUGCAUGGCUGUCGUCAGCUCGUGUCGUGAGAUGUUGGGUUAAGUCCCGCAACGAGCGCAACCCUUGUCUUUAAUUGCCAGCAUUCAGUUGGGCACUUUAAAGAGACUGCCGGUGUUAAGCCGGAGGAAGGUGGGGAUGACGUCAAGUCCUCAUGGCCUUUAUGCCCAGGGCUACACACGUGCUACAAUGGGUGGUACAAAGAGAUGCCAACUCGCGAGAGCGCGCCAAUCUCAGAAAGCCAUCCUCAGUUCGGAUUGGAGUCUGCAACUCGACUCCAUGAAGUUGGAAUCGCUAGUAAUCGCGAAUCAGAAUGUCGCGGUGAAUGCGUUCCCGGGUCUU
RNAcentral lists this ribosomal RNA (470 nucleotides) under uncultured Syntrophus sp. RNAcentral's name for it is "bacterial SSU rRNA". It matches the Rfam family "Bacterial small subunit ribosomal RNA", at positions 916 to 1381 of the family's 1533-position model. The record is from RNAcentral. Lineage: Bacteria; Pseudomonadati; Thermodesulfobacteriota; Syntrophia; Syntrophales; Syntrophaceae.